This 73-nucleotide transfer RNA is filed under the name Colacium vesiculosum. RNAcentral describes it as "tRNA-Lys". It matches the Rfam family "tRNA". Rfam says of the family: Transfer RNA (tRNA) molecules are approximately 80 nucleotides in length. Their secondary structure includes four short double-helical elements and three loops (D, anti-codon, and T loops). Lineage: Eukaryota; Euglenozoa; Euglenophyceae; Euglenales; Euglenaceae. The record is from RNAcentral.
GAAUUGAUAGCUCAGCUGGUAGAGCACUCGGCUUUUAACCGACAGGUCCUGGGUUCGAAUCCCAGUCAAUUCA